UUUGUGUGUUUGUUCUCCCACACUUGCUGAGUGUGUAAGCCUUCUCAUUUCCUUCUAGUACAAACACACUCAUUUCUGCAGUUGUUUGAAAGAAAAUAUAAGAUUGUUUUUAUAAAGUAUUUACAAUGUUGAGUGACAUACCAGUAAAGUAAAGUUUCCCUUUCAUACCUUGCAAUCUAUGGGGCAGAUGAUGUUAAAGUCAUCUGUUUCUAUGGCCUUUGAUUUAUGAGCAUGGUGUUAUGUGGCCAGCACAAUGAUCAACUGCCUUUACUUUCCCCAACUUAAGUCAGGCACCCAUUAGAGUUGGGUGGACUCAGGGGCGC
Biomphalaria pfeifferi is the source of this 323-nucleotide non-coding RNA. NCBI's taxonomy places the organism in Eukaryota, Metazoa, Mollusca, Gastropoda, Planorbidae. The record is from the annotation of a GenBank genome assembly.